UCAGGUUCUGCAGGAUUUACCCGGAUUCCGUGGUGUGCCUGAACCCCUGGAUGUGUUCAUCCAAACGGAAGAACAGAGGGAAUAAAUCUGGAGUGUCCUCUAGUCUGGCUCUACUGAGUCAUCACUUAAUGACAUAUUUAAUCACAUAAAUGUUUUCCCUAGUCCUGCACAUGUCUGCUUGACAGCCCUGCCUCAAAGAGCCCUGGAGUUUUCCAGCCAGCUGGGCUCGGAGCAAGGACAGUGGAUACUUGACAGUGCACAUUGAGAGUGGCCUUCCCAGCCUCUUCAGUCAGUCCCAAACAAGAUUUGAAUACAAGCUGCUGUGGUUUUAAUUAGGUAAGCAGGGUCUGGGUAGCUUGCACGUGAUACCCAUAUAAAACAUCUUAUUUUCUCAUUCUCAGCAGUGAUUCCAACAAAGCUGCUUUGCUGCGGGAGAAAAGGGAAAUUCUCCAUGUCACCACAGCAUCCCAGGAUCCAGAAAUGAGGGGGAACCUAUUGCAAUACCAGCUCAGAUGUUUUUGGACUGAAGUUCAGCAGAAUGGUAGAAAAAAAAAAAGGAUUCCCAUAGGAUUUCCUGGGAAAAAAAUUAUGCAGCACAUGAAUAUCCCAGGCUUGUCAGACUGCUGAAAAUGCUCUGUGUGGAUGGGCUGAGCACACAGAACAUCUGUGGCUGGGGCAGGCUGAAAUCCCAGGCAAGUGUCUGACAUCCCAAACACACGGAGCC
Molecule: long non-coding RNA, 724 nt
Filed under: Cyanistes caeruleus (blue tit)
Lineage: Eukaryota; Metazoa; Chordata; Aves; Passeriformes; Paridae
Description: lncRNA (ENSCCEG00000007030.1)
Source: RNAcentral